This 552-nucleotide ribosomal RNA is filed under the name Triticum aestivum (bread wheat). Its description in RNAcentral is "partial small subunit ribosomal RNA". The record is from RNAcentral. Lineage: Eukaryota; Viridiplantae; Streptophyta; Magnoliopsida; Poales; Poaceae.
AUGUCACGAAUAAACUUUGGAGUCAUUACCAUGAUCCUCAAAGUAGUUGGGGUGAUGGACAUUAGGCACUUCAGUCCUAUCAUAGUUAUCAACGUUCUCGAAGGCAUCUUAUCUAAAGUUUGCGCGACUAGACUAGCCCUGGUAGCUGAGCGGUUGGACCACCCACUUCAGACGGCAUUUUUGAAGGGUUGCCGGAUUCAUGAUGGGAUCUUGGCCCUUCAUGAGAUUGUCCACGAGGUCCAGACGUGCGAACAUAAGGGCGUCUUUCUCAAGUUGGAUUUCCAGAAAGCCUAGGAUCAGCUGGACUGGACCUUCUUGCGGUUAGUCUUGCAGCAUAGAGGCUUUGAGGACAAAUGGUGCAAUUGUAUUAUGCAGUUGGUGCAGUCUGGCAAGACGGCGAUUAAAAUUAAUGGUGAGGUGGGGCCAUUAUUUACGUCCUUAGUGGGAGUGAAGCAAGGGGAUCUGAUCUCCCCUCUUCUCUUCAAUCUUGCGUUGAUGCAUUGGCGGGAAUCCUGGAUAAAGCUAGGAGGGUUGGCCACCUCUCGGGGGUAG